UUUUUGUCCUACCCCUUUCUCUUCGCCAUCUUCAACCACGUAACGGUCUGUAUUAAUUUCAAUCAACAAGGAAUCCCAAUACUUCCUCCUCAAUGUAUCUUAAAUUACUGGUUUUGCAACUUCAUUCCGUGUGUACAUAGAGACCCUCUGAGAGAGUUGAGGCUGUUGUAGGGAGAUUGAUUGUCUUGAAAACAAUGCUCUGUCUCUGGGCCAAUAAUGUUAAGAAAGCCGGUGAGCGGAUAGGCGUUGAUACGGUACUCAUCGAUUGGAAUGUACACGGAUCAAACAGUGUUCGUUGACUUAGCCGAAUCUAUCCACCGCAUCCCGAGGGAGAGCUUUCGGUUUCGCAAUUAAGACCAACUCAUGCUCUUGGCUACCACGAUCACAAUUUUGCGAGGGAUGAUCUCAGCAAGUUAUCCUUUCUUCGCAUAGUUUUGAAGGAUCAUCUAAACCUGGUCCUUACAGUAAAAAGAUUGUUUUAAUCCCUGUACCAUGCUGGUUCUUAUGGGAGCUGACUAAUAAAGGAUGUCCAAGCGUCUUUCUAAGUUUUGUCAUGUAGCUUUGAUAAUCUUUUCCUAGAGUCUCCAAACCCCUUGAGUGAAGCGUGGGUUUCUAACCCAUAACGUUCCUUCAUAUUGGUUUAUUGCGUCUUCCAGUCCUCAAUAUGUUUUGCCUUCUUCUCUUGGUGUCUUUAUUUUGUCUUGCUGGUCAAUCGAUUGAUUUUCAAAGUAAAUAAUUGCAUGUCUACCCAGCGGGAUAAACUUUGAGUUUUCUAUCAUACAAACAACUGGAAACUGAAGUUAUGUACAUUACGGACAAAAACUAAAGGAGAAUCUUUGCUUUACUGUAGAGGCGAUGGAGAGGUAGGUUUGAAUUUCUUAAAUCUUAUCUUUAGCUCCAUACCCCUUGAUUUAUAUAGUUCAUGUUAGCUUCUUCUUUUGUAUGCCAUAUGCAACUCUUGGUAUAAUUUAGUCAAAGAAGUUGGUGAUGCAACUUUUGGGAAUGUUUGGCGAGCUGUCAAUAAACUGACUGGUGAAGUUCUGAGUUGUUUUUCACGAGAGAUCAAGUCUUCUACACUAUUUGUAUUUGAUUUUAGGGUACUAAAGUUUUCAUGACAUGUUGCAGUGUAAAAUAAUGAACAAUAAGAAUGUAUAUCUCUUGGGAAGACUGUAUUAAUCUGAGGGAAGUGACUGUAUUAAUCUGAGGGAAGUGAAAGGUUCCGUAUCUUAUGAAUGAUUCUAUUAAUCAUCUUGCAGAAUCUGAUGUCCGAAAUUGGUGCUUUCAAGUGUCUCUCUUGCAUGCAUCAGCGUGGAUACUUCCACAGUGAUCUAAGGCCAGCUGCACACGUGUGAUGUGUAUUUUUGAUUCAGUUUCCAAGUUUUUUUAGCAGUCAUAUUUAAAUAUUCUGUCAAUGAAUCAUGUGUAUGUUUUUUUCUCCGAUGCAGAAAAUCUGUUAGUCUCUAAAGAUGUCAUUAAGAUGACUGAUAUUGGCCAGGCCGAGAGGUCAAUUCGAGUCCACCGUACACAGUGUAUGUCUCGACACGCUGGUACAAGGAACCUAAAGUACCAACUAGAGUCAUAUGUGUACACGUCAAAAUUUGGGCGCUAUUCUGCCUAAGAUGUUGUCUCUUCGCCCUCUCUUUCCUGGAGCUAGUGUUAUAGGUAUCCCAACUGAAGAGGCAUGGUUGGAGGGGCUUUAAUCGCUUACUAAUUCCCUCAAGUAAUGUUUGCUUAAAUCUUCAACGUUCUGGAGUAGUAGUAGUGUCCAGAUAUUUACGGUUACACCAAUAUCAACAAUAUUUAUAUCUAAGUGAGCACUAAAAUAGUGUAACUUAUUAUCUAAA
Long non-coding RNA from Brassica napus (rape), 1844 nucleotides. RefSeq lists it as uncharacterized. The transcript has 7 exons. The record is from RefSeq and is a predicted model, not a curated record. Lineage: Eukaryota; Viridiplantae; Streptophyta; Magnoliopsida; Brassicales; Brassicaceae.